GGCCGCGGAAUUCGCCCUUUGCCAGCAGCCGCGGUAAUACGUAGGGUGCGAGCGUUAAUCGGAAUUACUGGGCGUAAAGCGGGCGCAGACGGUUACUUAAGCAGGAUGUGAAAUCCCCGGGCUCAACCUGGGAACUGCGUUCUGAACUGGGUGACUAGAGUGUGUCAGAGGGAGGUAGAAUUCCACGGUGUAGCAGUGAAAUGCGUAGAGAUGUGGAGGAAUACCGAUGGCGAAGGCAGCCUCCUGGGAUAACACUGACGUUCAUGCCCGAAAGCGUGGGUAGCAAACAGGAUUAGAUACCCUGGUAGUCC
Molecule: ribosomal RNA, 311 nt
Filed under: uncultured bacterium
Lineage: Bacteria
Description: bacterial SSU rRNA
Rfam family: Bacterial small subunit ribosomal RNA
Source: RNAcentral